This 484-nucleotide ribosomal RNA is filed under the name uncultured bacterium. RNAcentral's name for it is "partial 16S ribosomal RNA". It matches the Rfam family "Bacterial small subunit ribosomal RNA", at positions 30 to 507 of the family's 1533-position model. The record is from RNAcentral.
AUUGAACGCUGGCGGCAGGCCUAACACAUGCAAGUCGAGCGGAUGAAGGGAGCUUGCUCCUGGAUUCAGCGGCGGACGGGUGAGUAAUGCCUAGGAAUCUGCCUGGUAGUGGGGGAUAACGUCCGGAAACGGGCGCUAAUACCGCAUACGUCCUGAGGGAGAAAGUGGGGGAUCUUCGGACCUCACGCUAUCAGAUGAGCCUAGGUCGGAUUAGCUAGUUGGUGGGGUAAAGGCCUACCAAGGCGACGAUCCGUAACUGGUCUGAGAGGAUGAUCAGUCACAUUGGAACUGAGACACGGUCCAGACUCCUACGGGAGGCAGCAGUGGGGAAUAUUGGACGAUGGGCGAAAGCCUGAUCCAGCCAUGCCGCGUGUGUGAAGAAGGUCUUCGGAUGGUAAAGCACUUUAAGUUGGGAGGAAGGGCAGUAAGUUAAUACCUUGCUGUUUUGACGUUACCAACAGAAUAAGCACCGGCUAACUUCGUG